RNAcentral lists this ribosomal RNA (253 nucleotides) under uncultured bacterium. RNAcentral describes it as "partial 16S ribosomal RNA". It matches the Rfam family "Bacterial small subunit ribosomal RNA", at positions 524 to 776 of the family's 1533-position model. The record is from RNAcentral.
UACAGAGGGGGCAAGCGUUGUUCGGAAUUACUGGGCGUAAAGGGCGUGUAGGCGGCCUUCUAAGUCGAACGUGAAAUCCCCGGGCUCAACCCGGGAACUGCGUCCGAGACUGGAAGGCUUGAAUCCGGGAGAGGGAUGUGGAAUUCCUGGUGUAGCGGUGGAAUGCGCAGAUAUCAGGAGGAACACCGGUGGCGAAGGCGGGACUCUGGGCCGAUACUGACGCUGAGGAGCGAAAGCGUGGGGAGCAAACAGG